GAUUGAACUACAGCUGCGUG
This 20-nucleotide unclassified non-coding RNA is filed under the name Mus musculus (house mouse). RNAcentral's name for it is "oocyte_clustered_small_RNA7079". The record is from RNAcentral. Lineage: Eukaryota; Metazoa; Chordata; Mammalia; Rodentia; Muridae.